GCGCUCGUAGCUCAGUUGGAUAGAGCAGCGGAUUUCUAAUCCGCGGGUCGCAGGUUCAAGUCCUGCCGAGCGUGCCA
This 77-nucleotide transfer RNA is filed under the name Candidatus Omnitrophota bacterium. Its description in RNAcentral is "tRNA-Arg". It matches the Rfam family "tRNA". Rfam says of the family: Transfer RNA (tRNA) molecules are approximately 80 nucleotides in length. Their secondary structure includes four short double-helical elements and three loops (D, anti-codon, and T loops). The record is from RNAcentral. Lineage: Bacteria; Pseudomonadati; Candidatus Omnitrophota.